CUUGACACCAGGCUUCUUCGUGCCAUGAUAACAAAAGGUCUCAUUGAGCCUAUUUCCAGUGUUUUCGUGAACUUGGUUAAUGCUGACUUCACUGCCAAACAAAGAGGACUACGGAUAACCGAGGAGCGAGUCAUUAUCGAUGGUUCGCCUGAGAAACCAUUAGAAUACAUUCAGGUCCAGAUUGCCAACGUGGAAUCCAAAUUUGCCAGUGCUAUAUCAGAUAGUGGAGAGAUAAAGGUGGAAGGACUUGUGAAAGAUGGAGUCCCUCACCUCACGAAGGUCGGGUCUUUUGAAGUCGAUGUUAGUCUGGAGGGCAGCAUCAUUCUCUGCAGGCAAGUUGACCAGCCAGGUAUGAUUGGAAAGGUUGGAAGCAUUCUUGGCGAAGAAAAUGUUAAUGUUAGUUUCAUGAGUGUUGGAAGGAUUGCGCCUCGGAAGCAAGCUGUUAUGGCCAUUGGUGUUGAUGAACAGCCCAGCAAGGAAUCCUUGAAGAGGAUUGGUGAUGUCCCAGCAAUUGAAGAGUUUGUUUUCCUCAAGUUGUAGAAUGUACUAUGGUCAUGACUCCCUUUCCUUCCCUCUUCCCUUUUUCCCCAAGAAAAAAAGAAAAAACUUAUUGGUUGCGAACCAUCCUCUCGGGAUUUGGGUACAUUCC
Molecule: long non-coding RNA, 649 nt
Filed under: Cucumis sativus (cucumber)
Lineage: Eukaryota; Viridiplantae; Streptophyta; Magnoliopsida; Cucurbitales; Cucurbitaceae
Description: long non-coding RNA (CSAT_LNC000991)
Source: RNAcentral